RNAcentral lists this ribosomal RNA (253 nucleotides) under uncultured bacterium. RNAcentral describes it as "partial 16S ribosomal RNA". It matches the Rfam family "Bacterial small subunit ribosomal RNA", at positions 524 to 776 of the family's 1533-position model. The record is from RNAcentral.
UACGAAGGGUGCGAGCGUUAAUCGGAAUUACUGGGCGUAAAGCGCACGUAGGCGGUUUGAUACGCGGAAUGUGAAAUCCCCAGGCUUAACCUGGGAACUGCGUGUGAUACUGGAUGGCUUGAAUUCGGGAGAGGGAUGCAGAAUUCCAGGUGUAGCGGUGAAAUGCGUAGAUAUCUGGAGGAAUACCGGUGGCGAAGGCGGCAUCCUGGACCGACAUUGACGCUGAACGGCGAAAGCUAGGGGAGCAAACGGG